RNAcentral lists this transfer RNA (89 nucleotides) under Acidobacteriota bacterium. RNAcentral describes it as "Acidobacteria bacterium tRNA-Leu". It matches the Rfam family "tRNA". Rfam says of the family: Transfer RNA (tRNA) molecules are approximately 80 nucleotides in length. Their secondary structure includes four short double-helical elements and three loops (D, anti-codon, and T loops). Further hydrogen bonds mediate the characteristic L-shaped molecular structure. tRNAs have two regions of fundamental functional importance: the anti-codon, which is responsible for specific mRNA codon recognition, and the 3' end, to which the tRNAs corresponding amino acid is attached (by aminoacyl-tRNA synthetases). tRNAs cope with the degeneracy of the genetic code in two manners: having more than one tRNA (with a specific anti-codon) for a particular amino acid; and 'wobble' base-pairing, i.e. permitting non-standard base-pairing at the 3rd anti-codon position. The record is from RNAcentral. Lineage: Bacteria; Pseudomonadati; Acidobacteriota.
GCCGGAGUGGCGGAACUGGCAGACGCAGCGGAUUCAAAAUCCGCCGGGCGCUCGCGCCCUUGUGGGUUCGAGUCCCACCUCCGGCACCA